CUCCUGGAAACGGGUGGUAAUGCCGGAUGCUCCAGUUGACCGCAUGGUCCUCUGGGAAAGCUUUUGCGGUAUGGGAUGGGGUCGCGUCCUAUCAGCUUGAUGGCGGGGUAACGGCCCACCAUGGCUUCGACGGGUAGCCGGCCUGAGAGGGCGACCGGCCACAUUGGGACUGAGAUACGGCCCAGACUCCUACGGGAGGCAGCAGUGGGGAAUAUUGCACAAUGGGCGCAAGCCUGAUGCAGCGACGCCGCGUGCGGGAUGACGGCCUUCGGGUUGUAAACCGCUUUUGACUGGGAGCAAGCCCUUCGGGGUGAGUGUACCUUUCGAAUAAGCACCGGCUAACUACGUGCCAGCAGCCGCGGUAAUACGUAGGGUGCAAGCGUUAUCCGGAAUUAUUGGGCGUAAAGGGCUCGUAGGCGGUUCGUCGCGUCCGGUGUGAAAGUCCAUCGCUUAACGGUGGAUCCGCGCCGGGUACGGGCGGGCUUGAGUGCGGUAGGGGAGACUGGAAUUCCCGGUGUAACGGUGGAAUGUGUAGAUAUCGGAAAAAGAACACCA
Molecule: ribosomal RNA, 555 nt
Filed under: Bifidobacterium adolescentis
Lineage: Bacteria; Bacillati; Actinomycetota; Actinomycetes; Bifidobacteriales; Bifidobacteriaceae
Description: partial 16S ribosomal RNA
Rfam family: Bacterial small subunit ribosomal RNA
Source: RNAcentral